GGAAGUCGAAAUAGAUUCCAAACUCACCAGCUUGGCCUUGCACUGCACCCGUUUGCUAGCACUGCCACGUAGUCGUGGCACAUACGUAGCAGAAAACAAGUUGCUCACUCGAGACCGGUUUUUCAGCAGACUACUGGCUACUGGAGUUGCAAGGACGGUCUGCAUGACAGUUGAUGUGGCCAUCACUUAGAACAAUGUUUAUCUGUGAAAGCUAUUCUAAUGCUAGAGGCAACGUUCGUAAGGGAUAUCAUACCAGUGAGUUGAAGCUCGAGCUAUUUGCUUUGUAAUGAUAAUUAAUGUAUCUGACAAAGGUCUGGUAGGCUGUUAUAUAGCCGAUGGGGCAAGCGAGGAGAGGGCAUUUUGCUUCCACGUCAUCUAUAUCUAAUUAAAAAGCUGAUUGGAUCACGUGGGUUCGGUUGUCCUCACAUGGUCAAUUGGGUUACGUGGCCUCCUCACAGUCACUAGUGGAUCCCCACCCCGUUUAAGAACCUGAGGCCAAUGUUGUUCUAGGUUUUCCAGCUGAGCAGCGACCACGGCAUAGUAAUCGAACUGGGCUCAGCCACGAUUUUACCGCAUUAAUUUUACACGUUCCAAAUAACACAGUUAAAUGGAAUAUAUAAUUUGUCGACAUGAUUCUUCUCUAAUGAUAUUUUAGAAGGUGAUUGAUGAUAGUUUUUGUCUUUUCACUCCUACUUCUUAUCCUAAUCUUUUCUUUGUCAACUGAGCUAAUUUCAUUCUCAUAUUUUUAUCUUUGUCUCUUUCAAUAUAUUGAAAAGUUUUUCUUUUUCUCCUCAAUUAUCUAAUAUAUUACAAAGCUUUUCUUUUCUUCUAGUUGCCUAUUAAUUUCUCACAAAAACAUUUAAAGGCAUCUUCGGAUAUUUGCUGGGAUGACACAACAUCAUUCCAAUAUCCUUUCGAAUACAAGCUAAAUAAUAUUUGAAAUGGUAAAUAUCUCAACUGAAAAUUUUCAAAUAAUAAUUGCAUUGAACUUUUCUUGAAUUCUUAUUAAUAUCUAUAUCAUGUUGCCAUCUUACAUCAAGUCUAUUGCCAUUAAUAGUUUUUUUAGAUGCCUUGUAUCUUACAAUUCAAGAAUCAAUUCAAAUCAAUUCUAAAAUUAAAAUCUCAAACAUUUACUUUUACUUCACAUUGCAACUCAAUAAGAAACUUGAUAAAAAGCAUGUGCAACCCUCAAUUUCUUUAUUAUUUUUACUUUGAUUCCUCUAUUUUUUGGAUAGAUCAACUCAUUUACUUUACUAUUUACAAGAAAUGAGUCCUUUUCAAUUUUAACAGGUCAUUUAAUAUUAAUUACUCUAUUAUUUAAUGUUAAUUUACAACUUGUAUUUUAUAGAUUUGUCAGUUAAAACAGAGAAAUACCAAAUUUUUAUUCACAUAUUUCUCCAAGUAUUUGAAUUGAUUAUAGAUUUAUUUCCCAUUGAAACUUUAAAGAGAGAAAAAAAAUUAGAGAACACAAAAGAAUGCAUCUUAUGUUUAAUCAAAACACAAAACUCAAUAGAGCAAGAACAAAGAGAGAAGUGACAUUAACAUUUAAAAUAAAUAAAUAAAUAAAUAUUUUGAUUGUUAUUUUGAAGGCAUUUCAUUGUCGUUGCAAGGGAGAACCCGAUUUCUUCAGAAGGCUACAAGAUAGCAUCUUUAUAAUGAUGCAUUAAAGAAAAUUAUUCAAUUAUUAAUUAAUUAUAUGUUUCAAAUUUAAGAUGAUAACUUUGAAUCUAAUUACAUUUUUAUGUGACCUUCUACCUAAUUUCUUUCCCCUUAUGGAUUCUAAAUAUAAGACAAGCCUAGACUAUUCGUUGUAAUCAAUUGACCACUUCACAAAGUUACGACAAAAUCCAAAACAAUUUAUGCUUUCUAUUGUUUUAGUUUUUUUAUAUUUUCAUAUUAAAAAACUUAUUAUUAUUUGAAAUGUCAUCAAUGGAUGAUUUUACUCAAUAAUAUUUUUAAAAUAAUUUUUAAAUGCAAUGUAAUCACAUUAUCAAAAGGAAGAUAAAUGUGUAAUUGGGAUAAUGAACUUAUAAUUCAGAUGAAAAAUUGUUAUAUCUAGUAAUUAUUUAAAUUGUUUAAAUAUUUUUAAACAUUAUUACUUCAGGAUGAUCAGGGUGAUUUCCCCCUUUUUAAAUCAAAUAACAACAAAUUGAAAAUUUUUAAUUAUUGCUUUAGUUUUUUCUAUAUUUUCAUAUUAAAAAACUUAAUAUUAUUUGAAAUGUCAUCAAUUGAUGAUUUUACGUCUUCAAUUAUAUUUUAAAAAUAAUUUUUAAAUGCAAUGUAGUCACAUUAUCAAAAGGAAGAUAAAUGAGUAAUUGGGAUAAUGAACUUAUAAGUCAGAUGAAAAUUUGUUAUAUCUAAUAAUUAUUUAAAUUGGUUGGAUGAUUUAAAAAAUUUGUAAAACCAUUGUUGUAUUGGCAUAUAAUUAUGUUCAUAGAGACAAAUUUAGAAUUUGUUAAUAAAAAAAACCAAAAUGCAUAGUCUUGUUGUCGGGUGGCUAUUACAUAAAAAUAACUUUAAAAAUAAAGUACAUUCAAGGAUGAUUUUGUAAACAUCUCAAACUUUGAGGAGCCAGUGCCACCCUUAGCCUCCCUCUAGAAUCAUCUCUACAUGUGCAAGUGUUUGUUAGGCCUUUUGGUACAUUAUAUAACAUGUAUUUUAUAGGAUGCCUUGGUAUAAUUGCUUUUAUCCUUGCCCUGUGAUUAUCAUUUGGAAACCUGAAAACCAUUGCUAUAUUGGUAUGCUAUCUAUUUUGAUUCUAGCCAAAUAAAUGAAUUUUUUUUCUUGUAGAUACCCUUUUCUUGGUAGAAUAUUACAUUUGCUGCCUCAUUAUUUCAUCAUCAAAUGCAAUAUCAAUUUUAACUUUUUUCUCUUUUUAACUAAUUUGAUUAAGUCUCUAGUCUUUAGAUUAUAUAAUGUCAACAAAAUUGAAUGUCAUAUCUCGCUAAACAACAUUGAAUCAUGAUUGCCAAAUUCUUUCAAAAAACAACAUGUUUUAUGAUCCAAAUCACCCAUUAUAGAUUAUGGUAUAUUUAUGUAUCGAAUCGUUGUAUGAUAUAGGGUCGGGAUCUAGAAAGACAAUGAUCCAUAUCACCCAUUAUAGAUUAUGAUAUAUUUAUGUAUUGAAUCGUUGUGAUAUGAAACCUGGAUCUAGAAAGACAAUGACCCAUAUUUUUCAAAAUAAGAAAACAAGUGAAAAAAAAAUUAAAAAAGAAAAUAGUAGUGGUAGUAUUAAACAUUAAAUAUCGAGAAUGAUACAAAACACAAAAUUAAGUGAUGGUGAUAGCUAAAAGUUAGACCCCGUUUGGGAACACGGUGCAAACCGUGUUUCCUUAAAUUUUAAAUUUUUUAUUUUGUCUAAAAUGAUUUUUUAUAUAUAUUUUUAAAUUAUUUGAUGUACUAAUGUCAAAAAUAAUUUUUAAAAAUAAAAAACUUUAUUUAAAUGCAUUUCUAAACGAAAAGUACUUUGAACCGUCAUCACUAUCAUAAUCUCAAAUAUACCCUUAAAGAGUUAAGGCAGUAUACUAAUGUUAGAAAAGAAAGCUAGACAAUAUACUAAGUUAGAGACUUGCUAUGUUGAAAUUUAAUGUUGGGCUAUAUGUUUUCUAGACCAAUACAUUAUAAUUAUAUCUACUUCAUGUUUUAAAAAUUUAGGUAACAUGCUCUUUUUAGUGGUGUCACACCUGGAUAUCGCGACGACCGAUUAAAAAUCAUCACUCGAUUGAAAUAAAAAACACAUAUCAAGCAUUUUGUUCUUUUUAGGGAAAAAAGUCUUGUUCUAGAAGAUACCACCUAGUAUUAUAGUCAUUAGGAACCCUAACUGGUCAACAAAGAUUCUAUAGUACGGGACUGGUUACCAAAAAAAAAAAGACGUUAUCACCCCUUAAGAGUCUUAUCUGAAGCAAGUUGUAUUGCUGAUUUUGUUUAAAAUUGCUAAGAGUUUGUUCUCUUUUUCCUCUUUUAUUCUUCCUUUCAUGUUCCUGACCCUGACGUCAGUGAAUAAUUCCUACGAACAUUUUCAACUCUGGUGUUGGUAAAUAUCGUGCAAAUCCAAAAAAUACGAUACUCCUGACUCUAGCGUCAAUAAAUAAUUUCGCAAAAAAUGAACUUGAAGAAGAAAUUUUCUAUGUCAUUUUUUUCUUAUUUAUCCUUUACUAUUAUCCACCCUUUUUAGAUGAAAAAAAAAAUUGCGCGACAUAUUUGCAUUUAACAAUAAUAAUCCACAGAUUGAGCACAUAGCUAAAAAAAUACAAAUACAAAGGAAAACAAAUAAAACAAAGUGUGAGGGGCCCACAAAUAAAUCAACGAAGACCUCCAAAUAUUUUUGAAAUUUUAUGUUUCAUUUGGCCAAAUAUCAAAUUAGAAUGGGUAUAAAAAUUAUGGUCAAGGCAUAAGAGUGUGUUUGGCAAAACAUACCCUUAACAAAUACAAUUUGGGCCAGCUGGGCCACAAGCCCAGACCCGGCCAACUUUUCCUUUUUAACUUUUUUUUGGGCUGGGUCUAGCCCAACCAUCGAGGCUGAUCUAAACCCAGCGGCCCGGCCCAGUUACUGGUUCAGACCAGUAACCCGACUGGUUUAAUCCUUAGCUGCAAGCGUGCGAGGGCUAUUCACGCCUCACGCACGCUACAGAUCCUAGGUAAUUAAAUAGCAAAAUGAACAGUCUUAUGAAUUAAAAUGAUAGCGGGGAAAGACAGAAGACUUACCUGGUUUGCAGAGAAUUCGCGUGAGAUUGCAGAUGCUGGACGAAGCUCCCGUCUUCAAGUUCUCUCCCGUUUCUUGUUCUUUCCUGCUCUCACUCUCUCGUCUCUUCUGUUUCUCUUUUGUUUUUGUUUUUUUUCCUCUUCUGGAUACUCUCCUUUUCUUUUCUUCCCCCUGUUCUCUCCCGUUUUUCUCCCACUGUUUUCUGCGUUUUUUCAUCUCUGUUUCCCUCCUCCCCUUCUGGCUUCUCCUUUCCCCUUUUUAUAGAGCCAGACCAUGAGAGGGAUUCUUAUCCUUAUCUUCUCUAGGAUCGUCAUCCUGUGUAGAGUGAAUCGGCUCGGUGUUCGGAUGGAACGGAAACACCAACAGUCCUGCCAUUGUUGGACUGUUGGUGGUGCUUAUCCUUGCGUCAGGGGAGAAUUUUGAGGGUGAGGGAGACCAAAACAAACCCUACGGGUUCCGUGGGUAGCUAAUGCAACCUUGAACUUAGCUUGUGUGCGGCGAUUUUUUCUUUGCAGGGGGUGCUCUCUGUUUCCAAAGGAAGAAUGUUCUCUAUUUCCAAAGGAAGAAGACAGUGAACAACAAUGACGAACGACAUCGUUUUGGACUGGAAAUGGCCAUUUCUCAACUUGGUCCUCCAAGUUUCAACAUUUUUUAAUCGGGCCCUGGAUAAAAUUUCGGUGCCUUUUACAAAAAGGUCCCUGGAACUUAAUCACUUGUAAUUUUAUCCUUAAUAAACUCAGAAAUUUAAUAUUUGUUCAACUAUAUCCCUGGUUUCAUUAAUUAAACUAAUUCUAAGCUUAAUUAAGUCCUCAAACUUAUCUAUUCUUUAAUCAAACUCCUGAUAUCAUUAAUUAAACCCAAACAAAGUUUUAUUGAACUCCAUACCAGCUAAUUUUUUUAAUUUCUUUAAAAAUUAACAUCCAAAAUCAUAAAUUAAACAUGAUUAAACCCAUCAGAGCUUUUCAUUUAUGUUGUCUUGAUCAAAAUCUUAAUUUUUCAUUCAUUUUUUUAUUUUGAAUUUUAUAUUGUUUAAAAUUGAGUUAUAAUAAGUGGACCGAGCUUUUUGGUCUCAAAUCCAUAAAUUUGUUACCAAUUGACCUACCUCAUUUGGCAAGUGUGAGAUCUAUCUUCAGUGAAAUCUACUAGGUGAAUCAAAAUCCAUAAAAAAGAAGAAAAAAAAACAGAGAAAGAGUGAUAAAACUAACUACCACACCAAACAAAUAAAGAGGUUAUGCAGGCAGUCUUUCCUAAUCAAAUAAUAAAACUGAAAACAACACAAGGAGGUUUGUGGAGACAGCUACCUGCUGAUAUGCUUGUUUGCUUGCGUGUCUGGUUUUGUAAUUACACUGUUAUGAGCAGUUAACUCCUCUUUGGUGGCUUCGAAGGAAUUGAUAAUUUUAGACUUUAUUUUGAUUUAUCAUCCUCCUACAUAUUUCUCUCUUUGUUGGCUUCGAAGAAAGAGUUCAGCUUGGCCUGUAGCGGGUGCGGUAUAAUAUAUCCUCCUAAAUAAACUCUUUUUUUUUUUUUUUAAAGCGAUUUAAAUGGCCUAAACUGGAUGGGUAUUGGAUUUCAAUCUACAUUUUCAUAAAGCGUAGUUGGUCAAACAUUUGUAAUCGGUCGCUGCAAGAAAGACCCGUGAUUCGUUAAAAGUCCGAAAUAUCUUCCUAUUGAUGCACCGACGGCUUUCAAACUUGGCAUGUUCCUAGCUAGCAUAACAUAAAGAAGGAGAAGCAAAAUCUACACAAGUAUCAUUUGUAACUUGUAUAAAUGAUUGAAAAUUGAUCUUACAUAUUUCGCUACUGAAAUUACAUUAAUUCAAGUAUCCAUGUUAACAUCUAUGGCUUGAAUAAUACACAAAACAGAAACUACAGAAGGGUUCCACCCGAGACAUACUCGGUGCAGGCCAACGCAACCAAACCCAACAUCGCAAAUCUACCGUUCCACAUCUCAGCAUCAGAUGUCAUUACGCCAUCUGACUUGGACUCCGCGCUGACCCCUUUGAAUAGUGGGAUCAAAGACGCGACAGAGAGAAGAAUACUUGUUCCGACGAACCACGAGACUCCACCGUUAGAUAUCUGAGAGAAAAGGUCUUGGCCCUUGGACAGUUCCACUGCCAUUGCAGCGACAAAGCCUAUCAUGGCAAGCCUGCCAUUGAUCCUCUCUGGUGCGGGUCCGCUAAAUGCCAACACAUCAGUGAAUUUUGUGCUGACCUGUUAAUCAUCAUCACGCGUGCGUUUACAUUAGAAGUGUAAGCAUAAAUGCAAUAAAAAAGUCCAUGCUCUACUUAAAUUGUUAAAAUUAAACAUUUCCGAAAUAACUCAUGCCGUAUAAUUAAUCCUGUACCUUUGGCUUAGGAGGAGGACUUGGCUCUGCUGACAUAUUCUGGUCAUCCUGCAAAUUGAAUCAAAUGUUAACACAAUCCUAUGAACCAUCACCUAAACUACACACAAAGGAAGUCGAAAUAGAAUCCAAACUCACCAGCUCGGCCUUGCACUGCACCCGUUUGCUAGCACUGCCACGUAGUGGCACAUACGUAGCAGAAAACAAGUUGCUCACUCGAGACCGGUUUUUCACCAGACUACUGGCUACUGGAGAAGCAAGGACGGUCUGCAUUACUGUUGACGUGGCCAUCACUUAGAACAAUGUUUAUCACUCGAUAUGUGAUUAAGAAACUUAAUCAAUAUCUAAACUGUGAAAGCUAUUCUAAUGCUAGAGGCAACGUUCAGUAAGCGAUAUCACUACCAGUGAGUUGAAGCUCGAGCUAUUUGCUUUGUAUCUGAUAGUGGUUUGGUAGGCUGUUAUAUAGCCGAUGGGGCAAGAGAGGAGAGGGCAUUUUGCUUCCACGUCAUCCAUAUCUAAUGAAAAGGCCGAUUGGAUCACGUGGCUUCGGCUGUCUUCACAUGGUCAAGUGGGUUACGUGGACUCCUCACAGUCACUAGUGGAUCCCCACCCCAUUUAAGAAGCUGAGGCCAAUGUUGUUCUAGGUUUUUCAGCUGAGCAGCGACCACGGCAUAGUAACCGAACUGGACUCAGCCACGAUUUUACCGCAUUAAUUUGACACGUUGAAUCACAUAACCUGACAAACGAAUAUUAGUAUAUACUAAAAAACUUUUGAUGUUUUCUCCAGGGAGGUAUUCUUAUAAAUUUUAUAAUUACUAAAACUUAUUUGAUUAUUAAUUUUAGUGUUUUAAAAGAUUGUUGAAGAUGCAUGUAAACUGACGGGACAUUGAUGAUUAUCAAGAUAAAAAAUUUAUGAUGCUUAUGAGUUUUUUCUUCUUUUUAUAUUUGUAUUUUAUGUAAUAAAUACUCCAUAAUUAAAUUUUUUAGUUUUAUAAAAUUUUAAGCAAAAGUAAGUGUGUGAUUUAUAGAACAAUGCAAAUAUUUUAUGUAAAAGUAUUUAUUAAAGAGAAAAUUAUCCAAAGUAUCAUAUAGUUUACUUAAUUUUACAUUUUGCUUUAAUUAUUUUAUGAAUUACUGAAAUUAUUCUUGAUCAACCAAAAAUUUUAAAUCGUUUGAAAUGAUCAAAUUAACCUCUUUGUGUUGUAAUCUCUUGAAAAUUUGUUUCUUGUUGUGUGCUAUUAUAACUAUGGUAAAAAGAUGUCGUAGAUCAAGACAUGGUCAAAGGAGUAAGGAGGAUCCUUCUUAGGAGAGAAACAUCGAGAAGCUUGUCAUAAAGGACAUUCAAAGGUAAACACAAAGUUGACUCAUGGGUUAGAGGAUAAGGAUUUAUAAAACCAAAAUUAAAAGAGUGAUCAUGUGUCCCUAGCCAAUACUGAAAACCAAAGACAUGAUCAUGAAAUAUAACCUCUUGAUUAGGAAGAGAUCAACUUUAGGAAUUUUUGGUUUCGCGUUAAAAUCCAUGAAUUCGGAGAAACUUUAUAAGUAAAGGAUUUCAUAGAAUAGAUAAAUAGGGUAAAAUGAAUUUUUUAGUAUAAAGAGGUUCUCGAAUAUAUGUGAGGGAAGUGUUGAUUGUGAUUAGAAUAAAAGGUAGAGUUUCUACUUAGUGAGAUCAGUUAAAAGGGAAAAGAGAGAGACAAGAAAAGCUGAGAAUAAUGAUUUAGAAAAGAUGAAGAAGAAACUAAGAGAACACUUUCUUCCAUUUGGCUAUGCCCAAACCCUGUACUUAAGGUUUCACAUGUUAAAAUAAAUAGACAUUAGGUCAUGGUUUUGGUUUUGUUUUCGGGAUUUGUUGUUAUAGUUGUGGUGAGUUAAGGUAUCAAGCUAGCUAAUGAGAAUGCAUUAAAAAACUAGAAAGUUACAUAGGAAAAAAUAUGUUGAUAGAGGAACUUGCAAAUAACAUGGAUGAUCUUAUUUAAAAUAACUCUGACAACAAUGAAGAGACUUUAAAUGGGAAUAGUAGUACUAUACUAGUUGUCUGAAAAAUCAUUUUGUCACCCGAUGGUGAUUAAGGAUAGAAUUGGUUGUGUUCUAAAAUCUUCCAAAUAAUAUGUACUGUUAACAACAAGAUAUGCAAUCUAAUCAUCGUCGGUGGUAGUUAUGAGAAUAUAGAGUUAGUUGAAGUGUUAGAAAAAUUACAGCUUAACAUAGAAAAACUCUUCAUCCCUUACAAACUAAUGUCGCGCCCCCCCCCCCAAAAAAAAUAUUCAAAUACACAUCCAUUGCGGGUUCGACUGGCGAAAAUUUGUUUAUUUUUAUUUUUAUUUGAUUCUUUGGAGUCGCCACCUAGUAUUUUGGUCACUAGGAACCUAACUGGUCUCAGAGAUCGGGUACGGAGACUGGUUGCGUAAAGGGAAGGUAUUAGCACCCCAAAUACGCCUUACCUAAGGUAAGCUGCAUUGUUUUAAAUGUCUGAUAAAAAAAAAACUAAAGUGUUAUUGUGUUUUUCUAGUUGUUGGUCUGUCUAUGGUUCAAGAAAAAUCCCCCUCAGUAAGGAGGUCUUUAUCUUAUCGGGUAAAAAUCCUAACCGUUCUAACGUCCAUACCAAAAUUUUACUAAUAAUAUUUAGGAAUACGUUUUACGUAUAAAUUCGUAAUCCCAAAUAUUAAAAGAAAACAAAAAGAAUGUUUUAGAAUUUUUGAAAUAUUGGCCUAGUUCUCAUGGCUUGAAUAAAUUGGUUAUUAAAGCCAAAAUGCAUGUUAAUACAUAUAUUGUUUUUUUGAAAAAAAAAAAUAAUUUGUUGUAUGAAAAUAUGAUGUUAUAAUAUUUAUGUAUAUAUAUUGGAGAGACUAGGCCGUAUUUAAAAACAAAAACAAUUUUUGAAAAAUAUUAUUUUGUUAUGCUUUGACGAAAAUCAUAAUGGGUAUAUUUUAAAAAUACUGAGCUUGUAUCCUUACGGUAUAAAAAUACAACCCAAUAUUAAUCUAUUUUGAUAAAAUAUGCAGAAAAAUCAACAACAGUUUUUAGGAAAUUUUUAGAAAAUUUUUUGAAAAGCAAAACAUUUUUUAUUCUGAAAAUCUUUGAUGUUUUGACGAAAAAACCGGGUAUUUUAAUACUGGUUUUGUAUCUUUACAAAAAAAAAUACAAACCAGAAGUAAAACAUUUUUGAAAAAAUAUGCAGAAAAAAUCAACAAUAUUUUUUUUUAGAUUUUUUUUUUUUUGUUUUUUAUACAUUAAAUACAUUUUUUAUAUAUUAUAUUAUAUAUUUUAUAUAUUAAAAGGGCUGGGCCGGCCCAAACUAAACUGGGCCGGACCCAGCCCAACAGUCGUUGGGCCGAACUCGGCCCAACAGGUACUGGGCCGAACUCGGCCCAGGUACUGGGAACUCGGCCCAAAUAAUUAACCUCGGUCUGGGCCGGACCCGGCCCAGACCGCCGGACUGGGCCAGAUCUCUCUGGCCCGGUCCACAUAGUUCUGGGCCAGACAAAGUCUGGCCCAGAGGAAAUAAAAAACGCAGCGGGGGGGAUUAUUUCCCCCCCGUCCCCAAGAACGAUGCAGGAAGAAAAAAAAAAAAAAAAAUGUGCAGGGGGAGGGACGCGUACCUGGCACGGCGGAGACGGCGGCUUGCUGGCGGUGCUGCUGCGGAGACGGUGGCAGCUUGGCUUACGGACGGCGGGUCAGGCGGUUUUCUCUCUCUCUCCUCCCUUCGGGUCUCUCUCUCUCUUUUUCUUCUUCUCUCCUCUCGGCCUCUCUCUAUUUAUAAGCAAAAAGGAAACGGUUAGUGCGCCUUCAAUCACGCAACGGCUGGUCGGCCACUCUUGCUUUCGGUGGUGGUGGUGGGGCGAGGAGAGAGAGAGAGGCGGGAAGUUUUGAAAAAAAGAAAAAAUGGUUUCGUCUCUGUUUCCGCGGGGGGAAAGGAAGAAGACGAACAGUGUCGUUCAAAACGACACCGUUCUGUCUUCUUCUUUUUUUUUUUUUUUUUAUUAUAUAUAUAUAUGAAACGGCGUCGUUUUGGAUAAAACGCGCCGUUUCAUUUAAACGGGUCAAACUUCAAAACAGUCCUCCAAAUCGGUCCCUGCCCCUCUUGUUGGCCGCCUUUUUCAUUUUGGUCCUUGGCAUCUGAUUUAUGCAAUUUAGCCCUCAAUUGAUUAAUAAACUUUCAAUUUCUUCAAUUAGGCCCCUGAAACGAAAAAUUAGCAGCCCCUCCAUUUACGCGCCUCUUCCAAUUUGGUCCCUGGUUUCGGAUUUUCACAAUUAAGUCCCUAAUUGGCCCUUAAACUUCAAUUUUUAUGCAAUUGAGCCCUGAUUUGACCCAAUAAAUUCCUAAAAAAAUAUUUUGGCCCCAGAACUUAAAUUUCUCCAAAUUAAAGCCCAAAUUGACUUAAAAAUUAAUUUUUCUUGCAAUCAAAUCUUCUAUAAAUUCAAAUAAAAAUCCGAUUAAGUCCAUAAAAAUCCAAUUAAGCCCAUAAAAAUCCAAUUAAGCCCAUAAAAAUCCAAAUUUGGGCUUUUCUCCCUAAAAUUCCAAUUUUUCUUCUCAAUAGGGCUUUCAUCCUUCAAGAAUAUACUGUCAAAAAUUCAAUCCUUGUAUUUUUAAAGUCCUUGACCAAUUUUCUGACUGUUUUCCGGGCGCUUCUGCCUCCGGUUAUUUUUCUAACCUCUUUUGGCUAUUUAUUUUAUUUUUUAGGGGGACCCAAAAAUGGGUUACAACAACUAAAAUAGCUAAAUGAAAACAACAAGGUUGUCGCACGUCACCCUCGCGCGGCUUCCGAUGGCGAUUUUUCUCGUUAUGCGUUUUUGCUUGAUUCAGUUCUUUAGAGUCGUCACCUAGUAUUUUGGUCACUAGGAACCCUAACUGGUCUUUCAGAGAUUCUAAGGCAAGGAACUGGUUGCGUAAAGAGAAGGUAUUAGCAUCCCUAAUACGCUCUACCUAAGGUAAGCUGCAUGGUGUUUGGUUUAUCUUAUAAUUGCUAUGGUGUUGGUGUUUUCUAAUCCCAUCAGUUUUUCUAUGAUAGGUUUCCUAUGAUGAACAAACUUGGACUCAAAGUCUAAAAAAAAAAAGAACCCUUGGUCAAUGUGGAUCACACCUUUAGAUAUGUCUACAAAGUACCAAGGAGAACCAAUGCAGAUCUCUUGAAAUCUGUGUUUGAUUCAAGUUAAAUUUAUUAAGAUAGAAAUCCAAGGAGAUUUCAUGUGCUGUAAAAGCUCAUCUUUCCCUUAGUAUUUCAAGAGUUUGCGACUCGUAAAUCGCAAGAAUGAAGGACAAAUAUUUAGAAAUCUAAGGAAAUUCAAAGCGCUUUAAAAGCCUCCUUUUGCCUUAGUAUUUCAUACUUUCACGGCUCGUAAACCGUGGAGUCAAAAUUUAAAAUUUUGAAAUGUCCUCAAUUAUAAUCAAGGCUUCUCUCAAAGAUGUAUGCGGAUUUAUUACUCCCAAUAAUAUUUUGGAUAUUCAUCAUUUAAAGAUUUCUUUAUCCAAAUAUUAGCGGUGAAUAAUAAAUGAAUUCCCUCCAAAAUAAGAUUUUUAUAGUUUUUGGAAUAUUGGCCAAUACCCUUUGGAGUUUUACAAACAUGUUGUAAAAUCCAGAAAUACAAGAAAACAAAUUUUUUGAUGUUUAAGAAAUCCAUGCAAAAACACAUUCUUAAAACUUCCAAUAUUUUUUGUAUAUAAAAAAAUAUUCAAAACAUGUUAGGAUAUUGGCCGUAUGCAACAAAAAAAAAAACAUUUUUUAUAUUUUCUUUGCAAAAUACACAUAGUUAAUCGCAAUUAAAAUCCAAAAACCACAUAUUAAUCAAAUUCUUAAGGCUUUAAUAAAUCAACUAUUAAAUCCCAGAAUAUAUAUAGAAACAUGUUUUUAUAUUUUCCCGAGAAAUACAACAUAAUUUUAUUUGUCCUUCAGAUACCAUAUGUCAAAUUAGAAACUUAAUUCAUUUUUUUGUCUUUUAUUGAUUUUUAUCAUUCAAAUAACAUAAAUAAAAAUACAAACACACACACAUUUUUUAUUAUUAUUUUUCUUAUACAUAUUUUACGUGUAAAACAAAUAACAAAAUUUCAAAAAAAUCAAAUACAAUUUAAUUAUUACCAAAUAAACCCCAAAAACUCCAGGAAUUGGUGGGAACAUCUUCUAGGAUCCGCCGGAAUAGUGACGGAAGGUUUCUGGGCUCGGGAACAGUGGCGCACGUUUCUCCACUAGCGGAUCCCAGAAAAAUAAUGUUAACAUAUAAGCUACUGAAAUUAUAAGUUAUAUAGAUGAUUGAAAAUUGAUCUUAUAUAAUUUGCUACUGAAAUUACAUUGAUUCAAGUAUCCAUGUUAACAUAUAAGCUUGAAUAAUACACAAAAACAGGAACUACAGAAGCGUUCUACCCGAGACAAACUCGGUGAAGGCCAGCGCAACCAAACCCAACAUCGCAAAUCUACCGUUCCACAUCUCAGCAUCAGAUGUCAUGACGCCCUCUGACUUGGAUUCCACGCUGACCCCUUUGAAUAGUGGGAUCAAAGACGCGACAGAGAGAAGAAUACUUGUUCCGACGAACCACGAGACUCCACCGUUAGAUAUCUGAGAGAAAAGGUCUUGGCCCUUGGACAGUUCCACUGCCAUUGCAGCGACAAAGCCUAUCAUGGCAAGCCUGCCAUUGAUCCUCUCUGGUGCGGGUCCGCUAAAUGCCAACACAUCAGCGAAUUUUGUGCUGACCUGUUAAUCAUCAUCACGCGUGCGUUUACAUUAGAAGUGUAAGCAUAAAUGCAAUCAAAAAGUCCUUGCUCUAAUUAAAUUGUUAAAAUUAAACAUUUCCGAAAUAACUCAUGACAUAUAAUUAGUCCUGUACCUUUGGCUUAGGAGGAGGACUUGGCUCUGCUGGCAUCUUCUGGUCAUCCUGCAAAUUGAAUCAAAUGUUAACACAAUCCUAAGAACCAUCACCUAAACUAUACACAAAGGAAGUCGAAAUAGAAUCCAAACUCACCAGCUCGGCCUUGCACUGCACCCGUUUGCUAGCACUGCCACGUAGUGGCACAUACGUAGCAGAAAACAAGUUGCUCACUCGAGACCGGUUUUUCAGCAGACUACUGGCUACCGGAGUUGCAAGGAC
This 14120-nucleotide long non-coding RNA is filed under the name Populus tremula. Its description in RNAcentral is "long non-coding RNA (PTRE_LNC002806)". The record is from RNAcentral. Lineage: Eukaryota; Viridiplantae; Streptophyta; Magnoliopsida; Malpighiales; Salicaceae.